GUGGGGAAUUUUGGACAAUGGGCGCAAGCCUGAUCCAGCAAUGCCGCGUGCAGGAAGAAGGCCUUCGGGUUGUAAACUGCUUUUGUACGGAACGAAACGGUCCUGGUUAAUACCUGGGGCUAAUGACGGUACCGUAAGAAUAAGCACCGGCUAACUACGUGCCAGCAGCCGCGGUAAUACGUAGGGUGCGAGCGUUAAUCGGAAUUACUGGGCGUAAAGCGUGCGCAGGCGGUGCUGUAAGACAGGCGUGAAAUCCCCGGGCUCAACCUGGGAAUUGCGCUUGUGACUGCAGUGCUGGAGUACGGCAGAGGGGGAUGGAAUUCCGCGUGUAGCAGUGAAAUGCGUAGAUAUGCGGAGGAACACCGAUGGCGAAGGCAGUCCCCUGGGCCUGUACUGACGCUCAUGCAUGAAAGCGUGGGGAGCAAACAGGAUUAGAAACCCUGGUAGUCC
This 450-nucleotide ribosomal RNA is filed under the name uncultured bacterium. Its description in RNAcentral is "partial 16S ribosomal RNA". It matches the Rfam family "Bacterial small subunit ribosomal RNA", at positions 354 to 796 of the family's 1533-position model. The record is from RNAcentral.